This 744-nucleotide ribosomal RNA is filed under the name uncultured bacterium. RNAcentral's name for it is "bacterial SSU rRNA". It matches the Rfam family "Bacterial small subunit ribosomal RNA", at positions 8 to 796 of the family's 1533-position model. The record is from RNAcentral.
AGAGUUUGAUCAUGGCUCAGAGCGAACGCUGGCGGCAGGCCUAAUACAUGCAAGUCGAGCGGGUGUAGCAAUACACCAGCGGCAGACGGGAGAGUAACACGUGGGAACGUGCCCUUCAGUUCGGAACAACCCAGGGAAACUUGGGCUAAUACCGGAUACGUCCGUAAGGAGAAAGAUUUAUCGCUGAAGGAUCGGCCCGCGUCUGAUUAGCUUGUUGGUGAGGUAAUGGCUCACCAAGGCGACGAUCAGUAGCUGGUCUGAGAGGAUGAUCAGCCUCACUGGGACUGAGACACGGCCCAGACUCCUACGGGAGGCAGCAGUAGGGAAUAUUGGACAAUGGGCGCAAGCCUGAUCCAGCCAUGCCGCGUGGGUGAUGAAGGCCCUAGGGUUGUAAAGCCCUUUCGGCGGGGAAGAUAAUGACGGUACCCGCAGAAGAAGCCCCGGCUAACUUCGUGCCAGCAGCCGCGGUAAUACGAAGGGGGCUAGCGUUGCUCGGAAUCACUGGGCGUAAAGCGCACGUAGGCGGCUUUUUAAGUCAGGGGUGAAAUCCUGGAGCUCAACUCCAGAACUGCCUUUGAUACUGAGAAGCUUGAGUCCGGGAGAGGUGAGUGGAACUGCGAGUGUAGAGGUGAAAUUCGUAGAUAUUCGCAAGAACACCAGUGGCGAAGGCGGCUCACUGGCCCGGUACUGACGCUGAGGUGCGAAAGCGUGGGGAGCAAACAGGAUUAGAUACCCUAGUAGUCC